Molecule: ribosomal RNA, 427 nt
Filed under: Pseudomonas aeruginosa
Lineage: Bacteria; Pseudomonadati; Pseudomonadota; Gammaproteobacteria; Pseudomonadales; Pseudomonadaceae
Description: bacterial SSU rRNA
Rfam family: Bacterial small subunit ribosomal RNA
Source: RNAcentral
GAACUGAAGAGUUUGAUCAUGGCUCAGAUUGAACGCUGGCGGCAGGCCUAACACAUGCAAGUCGAGCGGAUGAAGGGAGCUUGCUCCUGGAUUCAGCGGCGGACGGGUGAGUAAUGCCUAGGAAUCUGCCUGGUAGUGGGGGAUAACGUCCGGAAACGGGCGCUAAUACCGCAUACGUCCUGAGGGAGAAAGUGGGGGAUCUUCGGACCUCACGCUAUCAGAUGAGCCUAGGUCGGAUUAGCUAGUUGGUGGGGUAAAGGCCUACCAAGGCGACGAUCCGUAACUGGUCUGAGAGGAUGAUCAGUCACACUGGAACUGAGACACGGUCCAGACUCCUACGGGAGGCAGCAGUGGGGAAUAUUGGACAAUGGGCGAAAGCCUGAUCCAGCCAUGCCGCGUGUGUGAAGAAGGUCUUCGGAUUGUAAAG